Molecule: ribosomal RNA, 1656 nt
Filed under: Meloidogyne enterolobii
Lineage: Eukaryota; Metazoa; Nematoda; Chromadorea; Rhabditida; Meloidogynidae
Description: partial small subunit ribosomal RNA
Rfam family: Eukaryotic small subunit ribosomal RNA
Source: RNAcentral
AUAAGUUUAAUCGUUUUAACGAGAAACCGCGAACGGCUCAUUACAAUGGCCAUGAUUUACUUGAUCUUGAUUAUCUAAAUGGAUAACUGUGGAAAAGCUAGAGCUAAUACAUGCACCARAGCUUUGUCCUCUCGGAAAAGCGCAUUUAUUAGAACAAAACCACGCGGCUUCGGCUGCUUCUUGUUGACUCAGAAUAACUAAGCUGACCGCAUGGCCUUGUGCCGGCGGCGUGUCUUUCAAGCGUCCACUUUAUCAACUUGACGGGAGCAUAAUCGACUCCCGUGGUGGUGACGGAUAACGGAGGAUCAGGGUUCGACUCCGGAGAAGGGGCCUGAGAAAUGGCCACUACGUCUAAGGAUGGCAGCAGGCGCGCAAAUUACCCACUCUCGGCUCGAGGAGGUAGUGACGAGAAAUAACGAGACUGUUCUCUUUGAGGCCGGUCAUCGGAAUGGGUACAAUUUAAACCCUUUAACGAGUAUCAAGCAGAGGGCAAGUCUGGUGCCAGCAGCCGCGGUAAUUCCAGCUCUGCUAAUACAUAGAAUUAUUGCUGCGGUUAAAAAGCUCGUAGUUGGAUUCGUAUCGGUACCUUGGAACCCUUCGGGUGUUUCUGGGUGUUAUCGAUUUAUCGUAAUGUUCGGUUUUGAGUCCUUAACAGGAUUUUUAACAGUCAUUGCAAGUUUACUUUGAACAAAUCAGAGUGCUUCAAACAGGCGUUUUCGCUUGAAUGAUCGUGCAUGGAAUAAUAGAAAACGAUUUCGGUUCAGUUUUAUUGGUUUUACGGACUGAGAUAAUGGUUAACAGAGACAAACGGGGGCAUUUGUAUGGCCCCGUGAGAGGUGAAAUUCUUGGACCGUGGCCRGACAAACUACAGCGAAAGCAUUUGCCAAGAAUGUCUUCAUUAAUCAAGAACGAAAGUCAGAGGUUCGAAGGCGAUCAGAUACCGCCCUAGUUCUGACCGUAAACGAUGCCAACUAGCGAUCCGCUGAUGGAAAUUAUAUUGCCUUGGUGGGGAGCUUCCCGGAAACGAAAGUCUUCCGGUUCCGGGGGAAGUAUGGUUGCAAAGCUGAAACUUAAAGGAAUUGACGGAAGGGCACCACCAGGAGUGGAGCCUGCGGCUUAAUUUGACUCAACACGGGGAAACUCACCCGGCCCGGACACUGUGAGGAUUGACAGAUUGAUAGCUUUUUCAUGAUUCAGUGGAUGGUGGUGCAUGGCCGUUCUUAGUUCGUGGAGUGAUUUGUCUGGUUUAUUCCGAUAACGAGCGAGACUCUAACCUACUAAAUAGUUGGUACAUACUCUUUGUGUAUACAGCUUCUUAGAGGGAUUUGCGGCGUUCAGCCGAAAGAAAUUGAGCAAUAACAGGUCUGUGAUGCCCUUAGAUGUCCGGGGCUGCACGCGCGCUACACUGGCAAAAUCAACGUGCUUGUCCUACCCUGAAAGGGGCGGGUAAACCAUUGAAAAUUUGCCGUGAUUGGGAUCGGAAAUUGCAAUUAUUUUCCGUGAACGAGGAAUUCCAAGUAAGUGCGAGUCAUCAGCUCGCGUUGAUUACGUCCCUGCCCUUUGUACACACCGCCCGUCGCUGCCCGGGACUGAGCCAUUUCGAGAAAUUUGGGGACCGUUGAUUUAAUUUAUCUAAAUUAUUUUGAUGGAAACCAA